AGAGUUUGAUCAUGGCUCAGAACGAACGCUGGCGGCGUGCUUAAGACAUGCAAGUCGAACGAGAAAGUCGCCUUCGGGUGGCGAGUAAAGUGGCGCACGGGUGAGUAACGCGUGGGUAAUCUGCCCUUUCGUCUGGAACAACCUCGGGAAACUGAAGCUAAUUCCAGAUAAGACUACGACGACCUAGGUCGAUGUGGAAAAAGGUGGCCUCUCCUUGGAAGCUAUCGCGAGAGGAUGAGCCCGCGUUCCAUUAGCUAGUUGGUGGGGUAAAAGCCUACCAAGGCUCCGAUGGAUAGCUGGUCUGAGAGGAUGAUCAGCCACACUGGGACUGAGACACGGCCCAGACUCCUACGGGAGGCAGCAGUCGGGAAUUUUGUCCAAUGGGGGAAACCCUGAGACAGCAACGCCGCGUGAGGGAUGAAGGCCUUCGGGUCGUAAACCUCUGUCAGGAGGGAAGAAAGCUUCAUUGCAAAUAGUUAUGAAGUCUGACGGUACCUCCAAAGGAAGCACCGGCUAACUCCGUGCCAGCAGCCGCGGUAAUACGGAGGGUGCGAGCGUUGUUCGGAAUCAUUGGGCGUAAAGCGGAUGCAGGCGGUGAAGUUAGUCGGGUGUGAAAGCCCAGGGCCCAACCCUGGAACUGCACUCGAAACUGCUUCACUAGAGUCCCGGAGGGGAAGGCGGAAUUCCCGGUGUAGAGGUGAAAUUCGUAGAU
Molecule: ribosomal RNA, 712 nt
Filed under: uncultured bacterium
Lineage: Bacteria
Description: bacterial SSU rRNA
Rfam family: Bacterial small subunit ribosomal RNA
Source: RNAcentral